AGAGAGUGCGAACGUUGUUCGGAAUUACUGGGCUUAAAGCGCACGUAGGCGGUGCUGUAAGUGUCAGGUGAAAUCCCACGGCUCACCCGUGGAACUGCCUGGCAGACUGCAGUACUAGAGUGUGGUAGGGGAGAGCGGAACUCCUGGUGGAGCGGUGAAAUGCGUAGAUAUCAGGAGGAACACCGGUGGCGAAGGCGGCUCUCUGGUCCACAACUGACGCUGAGGUGCGAAAGCUAGGGGAGCAAACGGGAUUAGAUACCCCGGUAGUCCUAGCUGUAAACGAUGGGCACUAGCUUGGGGUCUCCCUGUGUGAUCCCAGGUGUAGCAAAAGUGAUAAGUGCCCCGCCUGGGGAGUAUGGUCGCAAGGSGKG
This 371-nucleotide ribosomal RNA is filed under the name uncultured bacterium. RNAcentral describes it as "bacterial SSU rRNA". It matches the Rfam family "Bacterial small subunit ribosomal RNA", at positions 527 to 897 of the family's 1533-position model. The record is from RNAcentral.